This 1041-nucleotide long non-coding RNA is filed under the name Sus scrofa (pig). Its description in RNAcentral is "lncRNA (ENSSSCG00025006667.1)". The record is from RNAcentral. Lineage: Eukaryota; Metazoa; Chordata; Mammalia; Artiodactyla; Suidae.
UGCUGCUGUAAUGUAUAGCAUGGCAACUAUGAUGGCAAUAAUACUCUAUUGCAUCUUUGAACAUCGUUAACAAAGCAAAGUUUAAAAGUUCUUACCACAAGCAAAAAAAUACUGUAAUAUGUGUGGUGAUGGAUGUUAACUAGACUUAUUUUGGCAACCCUUCCACAAUAUAUACAAAUAUCAAAUAAUUAAGUUCUGCACUUGAAACUAAUGUUGUAUGUCAAUUAUACCUCAAUUUUAAAGUGUCCAUUAAUAAAUAUAUCAUUCUGUUCACUCUGACCUAAGGCCCUCAUAGGGUGAAAAGACCAGUAGCGUUUCUUCAUGAUGGGGAGGUUUUCUAAUAACACAGGAUCACAUAGCUCUAUAUGAAAAUAUUUAAAAACUAACCUCAAGGGACAUUUGGUACAAAUACUAUUUAUACUAUGCAAAUACUUUUAAAAAGUACUGCAGUUUCUGAGAAGUUGAUCAUAAGACAGAUUAGGAGGAAGAAAAAAAAUCCAGACCAGCAAUUUACAAAUCAGCUCCUCUAGGACAGAAGAUGUACUUAACAAACAAACUUUUUUCAAGACACAGAGACCCAGAUCAGACUUCUUCCAUGGCUGCGCUUGCUGGUCUCCACACAAUGAGAAAUAGAUACUUAAGGUUGCUGCCAGGAUUUGGUUCUUCAUCUGAGGUGACAUUCACUGGCCCCUUGGAGAGUUGUGAUGGUAUGGAGCCUUGGGGUGGUAGAAAUGUUCACACAAAUUUGGGGAGAGAUUGUGGUGCAUCCAUAGCCUUCAACCCUAAGAGAAGAACGGAGGCACUUUUCAAUAAAGCAGAGACUUUAGAAUAAGAAUGUAUAAGUGAAAUGGGCAAUCAGGUUUGCAUGAUGAGUAGAUAGAGAGUUAAUUUUUUUCUUUUAAUUUUAUAGGCUAUGAAAAGUUUAUAGUUUUAUGAGGUUUCAAGGUAGCCUUAUUUUUUUAAUUAUCAAAUUUGAGCUCAAAGAGAUUGAGUGACUUGUUCCAAAGUCACACAACUAAUAAAGUGGUAGAAACAGAUCCA